UAACUAAGAGAUGAAGAGGUUUAACCACAGUCCUUCAGAUGUUGACUCCGAGAAGCCGACAUUUUAAAAAUUGAGGGAGAGUUUAAUUUUGAAGAAUUGGGAAAGCGAUUUCCCAUAUUCAGGACUUACAGCCUACGGUGAUUUGCUUUCCAGAAGAGGAGCUGCUGUGCUUUCCUGGAGAGUUAUAUUNCAGCAAGAUACAAUCAAUUAUGUCUGAUUGCAAGCAGUGAAUUUUAGUCUGUUGAUGAAGACAAAGGUAUGCAGAUUUCCAGUUCGGGGGUUCUCAG
This 287-nucleotide long non-coding RNA is filed under the name Salvator merianae (Argentine black and white tegu). Its description in RNAcentral is "lncRNA (ENSSMRG00000003108.1)". Lineage: Eukaryota; Metazoa; Chordata; Lepidosauria; Squamata; Teiidae. The record is from RNAcentral.